CACAAUUUCUCUUCAGUAUUUGUUUGAUCAAGACGCGGUGGUUCUGCGAGGGGAUGACUCAAUAUUUUAGCGUCCCCCGAGGAAAGAAAGACAUCUUGCUAAAACCAGCUGCUUGAUAAAGUCAAGUGUCAAGCGUCGCUAUCAUUCAAAAGUGUACUGUUAUCUCUGGCCCACGAGAUAUUCAUACAGGAAUAUUGCCAAUAGGAAGGAAGAGCCAGGUGAAAUUCGGCAAUGAUUUAUUAAUAUCCGCUACAAAAGAUACCACAUCGGCAGAGGGCGCCAGUAUUAUCCUAUAAAAGAUCUCAAACAACCAGGCUCUCACCAUAUUACCUUCUGGAGUUUUCAAGAGAAAAAAAGGCGCGCCGAAGCUUUCUAAUCAACAGCCUUUUUAAGACCACAUAUCAGACAAAGAAUGAGGAACUGCAGUGUCAUUUUUGUUUCUGUUUUUGCUCUCUUUAUACUAGUGAGUCAAGUCAGGUGUUUUAUGCCUCAUAUUUUUCAAACUCCAUCACCUAGCAAGGAUCGAAGAAGUGAAAUUAUGAUGAAGAGGACAAUUCGCGACUUUUGCAGUACAGCCAAAUUAUACUGUGAAACGAAGACAAAGGAGUUUGACUGGAAAUCAACCAACAAUGGCCGGGAAGAAUGCGUUCGUUAGAAUUAAUGCUGAUGCACAGAAAACAAGAGCAGUUUGAAAUUAAAUAUAUGAUUUCGAAGAAGACCUAAAUAAAGUAUUCAAAUAGUUUCUUAUUGUUCUUUGAUGUAAAAACCGUGUGGUCAAUUGGUCAUGACGGGUUCUAAUAUGUUGUGAUUAUUUAUGUAUCUUUAAUGACAACUAUUAAAAUAUUUUUCUUACAAGAAACAAAAAUUUUAUCGGUUUUGAAAUUGCACAGUACGUGGAAUUAAUGGAAUCAAUUCAUCAAUUACUACUAUCUUACCUAAAGGUGGGUGAAAGUCACUGUUUUUUCCCCAUUAAGUAUAUGGCUACACUAGGAAUCAAAGGACCUACUUUGUCAUCUAAAUAAACUAAAGUGAUUUUGCAAAAUAUUGUUACGUUAGCAAUUGAUAGAUAUCAAUAAAAGUAGAAGACUUCA
Actinia tenebrosa (Australian red waratah sea anemone) is the source of this 1091-nucleotide long non-coding RNA. RefSeq lists it as uncharacterized. The record is from RefSeq and is a predicted model, not a curated record. NCBI's taxonomy places the organism in Eukaryota, Metazoa, Cnidaria, Anthozoa, Actiniaria, Actiniidae.